CUCUCCAAAAGGGUGUGUAUAUAUAUAUAUAUAGAUGACUAAGUAGUCAUUUUCACCUUUAAACUUGGCCAAAAAUGGAGAGCAAAAACAUGAGAGCAAGACAGAGGCAGCCACGAGUUGCUCCAAUUUAAGGUAAGCCCUCCGAUUUCUUUCUGUGAAUUAAUUAUUUAAGGUAUUACACGGCUAAAUGAUGGGGUUUAAUAGCAUAAAAUUACUAUUUGGGGAAGCAAAGAAGGGACACGAACAGUCCAUAACUUUCAGCAUGUUAAGGAGGUUCCGAAGUUAAUUUUCAGCAAGUUUGGGAAUCUGUUUGUUAAGCACAAAAUGGAGAGCAAACAGCCACAACAUUUCAGCCGCAAUUAAGGAACUUCCGAGGAGAGUUUUGGCAAGCUUUGGCCAAUUUCGGGUAAGGUUCAAGAGACGACAAGGCGAACGUAUUAAGAGUAAUCCGUAAGAGGUAUGUAAAGCUAACAUUUCCUUCUUUUGUCAUGUUUUUGGCAUAAGUAUGUAAGGCUUAGACUUUCUUUUGGCAUGUCUUUCGGCAUAAGUGUAUUAAGCUUAUUCUAUCUCUUGGCAUGUUUUGGACACAAAUAUGUAAAGCUAAUCUUCUUUAUUGACAUGGUUUUUAUGAAGUAAGAAAAUGACUUUUAUAUGAUUCCAAGAAAGUUCCUAUUCGUAGAGCUGCUAGGAUGGCCAACUUCUUGAUUUUUCAAAAGAUAUUUGUUAUUCCUUGAUAUGUGUAUAUGAUUCCCAAAAGUUCUAUUUCGAUAUAACCCAUAGUAACUUUCAAAAGGUCCUUGA
Molecule: long non-coding RNA, 801 nt
Organism: Solanum dulcamara
Lineage: Eukaryota; Viridiplantae; Streptophyta; Magnoliopsida; Solanales; Solanaceae
Exons: 3
Source: RefSeq, a predicted model, not a curated record